RNAcentral lists this small RNA (239 nucleotides) under Sinorhizobium meliloti 2011. RNAcentral's name for it is "putative ncRNA". The record is from RNAcentral. Lineage: Bacteria; Pseudomonadati; Pseudomonadota; Alphaproteobacteria; Hyphomicrobiales; Rhizobiaceae.
AGUCCAACAUUCUCGCCCAAAGGAGAGCCGGAUGAAGACACUCGCCAACAAGCCGCCGGUAUCACCGCAAUCCAGAAUUCCGCAAUCGCUGCUCGAGCGGUUCGAGAACGAGUGGCGCGAAAUGCGCACGGUCGGCGAGGCUGCACAGAAGACCGUUCCUCCCGCGGAGUGAGAUGCGCUGACGCGGCCUCGGAGCGUGGGAUUUUUGCCAAUCGGCAAUUCCGUGCUACUCUCCUGGC